This 460-nucleotide ribosomal RNA is filed under the name uncultured bacterium. RNAcentral describes it as "partial 16S ribosomal RNA". It matches the Rfam family "Bacterial small subunit ribosomal RNA", at positions 338 to 795 of the family's 1533-position model. The record is from RNAcentral.
CCUACGGGUGGCAGCAGUGAGGAAUAUUGGUCAAUGGACGAGAGUCUGAACCAGCCAAGUAGCGUGAAGGAUGACUGCCCUAUGGGUUGUAAACUUCUUUUAUAUGGGAAUAAAAUGUUCCACGUGUGGGAUUUUGUAUGUACCAUAUGAAUAAGGAACGGCUAAAUCCGUGCCAGCAGCCGCGGUAAUACGGAGGAUCCGAGCGUUAUCCGGAUUUAUUGGGUUUAAAGGGAGCGUAGGUGGAUUGUUAAGUCAGUUGUGAAAGUUUGCGGCUCAACCGUAAAAUUGCAGUUGAAACUGGCAGUCUUGAGUACAGUAGAGGUGGGCGGAAUUCGUGGUGUAGCGGUGAAAUGCGUAGAUAUUACGAAGAACUCCGAUUGCGAAGGCAGUUCACUGGACUGCAACUGACACUGAGGCUCGAAAGUGUGGGUAUCAAACAGGAUUAGAUACCCGUGUAGUC